AACGCACCUUGCGCCCCUUGGUAUUCCGAGGGGCAUGCCUGUUUGAGUGUCAUUAAAUUCUCAACCUUACUAGCUUUUGCGAAGUAAUGGCUUGGACUUGGGGGUCUUUUGCUGGUUUCGAAAGAGAUCUGCUCCCCUUAAAUGUAUUAGCCGGCGCCCCGCGUGGACCGUCUAUUGGUGUGAUAAUUAUCUACGCCGUUAGAUGUCUGCUAUUAAAUGGGAUGUGCUGCUUCUAAUCGUCCUCAGGACAAUUAUUGACCAUUUGACCUCAAAUCAGGUAGGACUACCCGCUGAACUUAA
This 300-nucleotide unclassified non-coding RNA is filed under the name uncultured fungus. RNAcentral's name for it is "sequence contains ITS2". The stretch from base 1 to 52 matches the Rfam family "5.8S ribosomal RNA", at positions 103 to 154 of the family's 154-position model. The record is from RNAcentral. Lineage: Eukaryota; Fungi.